GAUGAACGCUAGCGGCAGGCUUAACACAUGCAAGUCGAGGGGUAUAGUUCUUCGGAAUUAGAGACCGGCGCACGGGUGCGUAACGCGUAUGCAAUCUACCUUUCACAGAGGGAUAGCCCCAGAGAAAUUUGGAUUAAUACCUCAUAGUAUAGCAGUUUCGCAUGAAACCGACUAUUAAAGUCACAACGGUGAAAGAUGAGCAUGCGUCCCAUUAGCUAGUUGGUAAGGUAACGGCUUACCAAGGGCAACGAUGGGUAGGGGUCCUGAGAGGGAGAGUCCCCCACACUGGUACUCGAGACACGGACCAGACUCCUACGGGAGGCAGCAGUGAGGAAUAUUGGACAAUGGGCGCAAGCCUGAUCCAG
Molecule: ribosomal RNA, 365 nt
Filed under: uncultured bacterium
Lineage: Bacteria
Description: bacterial SSU rRNA
Rfam family: Bacterial small subunit ribosomal RNA
Source: RNAcentral